UACGUAGGUGGCAAGCGUUGUCCGGAUUUACUGGGCGUAAAGGGAGCGUAGGUGGAUAUUUAAGUGGGAUGUGAAAUACCCGGGCUUAACCUGGGUGCUGCAUUCCAAACUGGAUAUCUAGAGUGCAGGAGAGGAAGGCGGAAUUCCUAGUGUAGCGGUGAAAUGCGUAGAUAUUAGGAGGAACACCAGUGGCGAAGGCGGCUUUCUGGACUGUAACUGACGCUGAGGCUCGAAAGCCAGGGGAGCGAACGGG
This 253-nucleotide ribosomal RNA is filed under the name uncultured microorganism. RNAcentral's name for it is "partial small subunit ribosomal RNA". It matches the Rfam family "Bacterial small subunit ribosomal RNA", at positions 524 to 776 of the family's 1533-position model. The record is from RNAcentral.